GCCGCAUAGUCAGCUAUAAAAGGCCCCGAUAAGACAAUGUAAAACAAUUCAAACGAGAAAACUAACGGCCUUAUUUAUGUAAAAAAAUGAACGAAAAACAAAUAUGUUACACAUAAACAAACGACAACCACUGAAUUACAGGCUCCUGACUUGGGACAGGCACAUACAUAAAUAAUGUGGCGGAGUUAAACAUGUUAGCGGGAUCCCAACCCUCCCCU
Molecule: long non-coding RNA, 218 nt
Filed under: Mytilus galloprovincialis (Mediterranean mussel)
Lineage: Eukaryota; Metazoa; Mollusca; Bivalvia; Mytilida; Mytilidae
Source: RNAcentral